GCACGUCUUCAGGGCGGGGUUUGUUUCCCCACUGGUGGUAUAGUCCAUGAACCGUUAAUUCGGCCGAACUGGUGAAAUUCCAGUACCAACUGUCAAAGUCAGGAUGAAGAGAAGACAGAG
This 120-nucleotide non-coding RNA is filed under the name Streptococcus sp. RNAcentral's name for it is "FMN sequence". It matches the Rfam family "FMN riboswitch aptamer (RFN element)". Rfam says of the family: The RFN element is a highly conserved domain that is found frequently in the 5'-untranslated regions of prokaryotic mRNAs that encode for flavin mononucleotide (FMN) biosynthesis and transport proteins. This element is a metabolite-dependent riboswitch that directly binds FMN in the absence of proteins. RNAcentral also lists the same sequence under 1 other name. Lineage: Bacteria; Bacillati; Bacillota; Bacilli; Lactobacillales; Streptococcaceae. The record is from RNAcentral.